UACAGAGGGUGCAAGCGUUGUUCGGAAUUAUUGGGCGUAAAGGGCGCGUAGGCGGUGCCACAAGUCACCUGUGAAAUCUCCGGGCUUAACUCGGAGCCUGCAGGCGAAACUGCUGUGCUUGAGUGUGGGAGAGGCGCGUGGAAUUGCAGGUGUAGCGGUGAAAUGCGUAGAUAUCUGCAGGAACACCCGUGGCGAAAGCGGCGCGCUGGACCACUACUGACGCUGAGGAACGAAAGCUAGGGGAGCAAACAGG
RNAcentral lists this ribosomal RNA (253 nucleotides) under uncultured bacterium. RNAcentral describes it as "partial 16S ribosomal RNA". It matches the Rfam family "Bacterial small subunit ribosomal RNA", at positions 524 to 776 of the family's 1533-position model. The record is from RNAcentral.